RNAcentral lists this ribosomal RNA (588 nucleotides) under uncultured bacterium. Its description in RNAcentral is "bacterial SSU rRNA". It matches the Rfam family "Bacterial small subunit ribosomal RNA", at positions 338 to 917 of the family's 1533-position model. The record is from RNAcentral.
CCUACGGGAGGCAGCAGUGGGGAAUUUUGGACAAUGGGCGCAAGCCUGAUCCAGCCAUUCCGCGUGAGUGAAGAAGGCCUUCGGGUUGUAAAGCUCUUUCGCAAGGGAAGAAACGAUACAGGUUAAUAACCUGUGUUAAUGACGGUACCUUGAUAAGAAGCACCGGCUAACUACGUGCCAGCAGCCGCGGUAAUACGUAGGGUGCGAGCGUUAAUCGGAAUUACUGGGCGUAAAGCGUGCGCAGGCGGUUUUGUAAGUCAGAUGUGAAAUCCCCGAGCUCAACUUGGGAACUGCGUUUGAAACUACAAGACUAGAAUAGGUCAGAGGGGGGUAGAAUUCCACGUGUAGCAGUGAAAUGCGUAGAGAUGUGGAGGAAUAUCAAUGGCGAAGGCAGCCCCCUGGGAUCAUAUUGACGCUCAUGCACGAAAGCGUGGGGAGCAAACAGGAUUAGAUACCCUGGUAGUCCACGCCCUAAACGAUGUCAACUAGUUGUUGGUAGAGUAAAAUCUAUGAGUAACGCAGCUAACGCGUGAAGUUGACCGCCUGGGGAGUACGAUCGCAAGAUUAAAACUCAAAUGAAUUGACCGG